CUCAGUUCUUGAAAAAUGCCUUAGAGCCAUUUCACCUUCGAGUGCCUUAUUAUUUACAACAAGAAUUGCAGGACACCCAGGAGGUCAUUCCUUCUCUAGUCCCACAUCUAUUUUCCAUGAAGAUUGAGGAAUAUCAAAGAAAAGAGUGGAUUAAAACCUCAAAGAGCUCUACAGGGCCCUCCCAGAUCACUGCGAUGGACCGCAAAGAAGCUUGGCCUAGAGGAGCCCAAGGUCAAGGGCGGAGGCUGAGAGAACCUAUCCCAUGCCCAAGGAGUGGUGGCUGUGUGGGUGCAAGAGAGCCGAGAGGAGCUACUCUACGUUCAA
Long non-coding RNA from Capra hircus (goat), 324 nucleotides. RefSeq lists it as uncharacterized. The record is from RefSeq and is a predicted model, not a curated record. The transcript has 3 exons. NCBI's taxonomy places the organism in Eukaryota, Metazoa, Chordata, Mammalia, Artiodactyla, Bovidae.